RNAcentral lists this ribosomal RNA (109 nucleotides) under Colobus angolensis palliatus. The record is from RNAcentral. Lineage: Eukaryota; Metazoa; Chordata; Mammalia; Primates; Cercopithecidae.
GUCUAUGGCUAUACCACCCUGAGCAUGACUGAUGUGAGAGGCUAAGCAGGGUUGGGCCUGAUUAGUACUUGAGUGGGAGACUGCAUGUGAAUACCGGGUGCUGUAGGCC